Pistacia vera is the source of this 728-nucleotide long non-coding RNA. RefSeq lists it as uncharacterized. NCBI's taxonomy places the organism in Eukaryota, Viridiplantae, Streptophyta, Magnoliopsida, Sapindales, Anacardiaceae. The record is from RefSeq and is a predicted model, not a curated record. The transcript has 3 exons.
CGAAAACAGAAGUACCUUGAAGCUUCAGACAAGCUGAUCGUGCUAAAGGUGUGGAUAUAUUAGUUAAAGAUUUGAAAGUUUUUGCUGUGUUUAAUGAAGAGCUUUUCAAGGAGAUCACACAGCUAUUGACACUGGAGAACUUUAGAGAUAAUGAACAGCUCUCGAAAUAUGGAGAUACGAAGUCUGCUAGGGGUAGAAUGCUAGCUGAACUGAAAACGUUGAUAGAGGCUAAUCCACUUUUCCACGAUAACUUCAAUUUCCUACCUUGAAGAAUCAAGGCUACGGACACUAAUUAACCAGAGGUCCUUGGGAAGUUCUUUUCUUUCUUGCGUGUCUAUCUUUAUGAUUUUGUAACUUUUGUUUAUUGCUUUUAAUUGAACAUGUUCACUUUUAUUAGCAUUUGAAUUGAGUUUAAAUUAGCAGCAUCAGCUGUGUAAGAAUCCAAGGCCUGAUCCAACAUAAAGACCCUAUUUGUAGACCACAGUUGUGGACAGCCAAAUGGUGCUCAAGCCCGUCUCACGUACCAAUCCUUUAAUGGGUGCUGUUUCAAAGCCUGGAGGUUUCUCCACUACUGAGUGCUCAUGGUGUUAGUAAAAAUUUUGAAGGUUCUAGGUAAUUGAGCUAACUUGGACUCUGACUGCUUGGAAAUUUAACUUUAAAUUGUUUCUUCCAGCCAUUUCAGCCUACUCUUGCUGUUCUUUCGACUUCUCUUGCUGGAUGGAUGGCAA